Molecule: ribosomal RNA, 354 nt
Filed under: uncultured bacterium
Lineage: Bacteria
Description: bacterial SSU rRNA
Rfam family: Bacterial small subunit ribosomal RNA
Source: RNAcentral
AGAGUUUGAUCAUGGCUCAGGAUGAACGCUAGCUACAGGCUUAACACAUGCAAGUCGAGGGGAAACGACAUCGAAAGCUUGCUUUUGAUGGGCGUCGACCGGCGCACGGGUGAGUAACGCGUAUCCAACCUGCCCACCACUUGGGGAUAACCUUGCGAAAGUAAGACUAAUACCCAAUGACGUCUCUAGAAGACAUCUGAAGGAGAUUAAAGAUUUAUCGGUGAUGGAUGGGGAUGCGUCUGAUUAGCUUGUUGGCGGGGUAACGGCCACCAAGGCGACGAUCAGGUAGGGGUUCUGAGGAGGAAGGUCCCCCANAUUGGAACUGAGACAUGGUCCAAACUCCUACGAGAGGCA